CCCGGAGAACACUAAGAGAAGCAGCAAGAUCAUUGGCCCAAAUGUUCCUUCCAUCAACCACUCCAGCAAAGAGGUACUUGCCAGCAGGGAAUCCACUCUUGAUCAAUUCAAGGGUCUUCGUUCCACGAACCAAAUCAAAUCCAUAAGCGGUGACACCCUUCAAAGAAGUGAGGGUCUGGAAUGCCUCAGCUGGAACAUCAGCAAAGUAGGUCUCAACAAGAACAUUCAAGCCAGACAGAGUUGACUCUAGCUCGGCAUAAGCCUCACUGAAUGCAUGCAAUUUGUGUGAGUCAAGAUCCAUAACAAGCAAUGGCUCAUCAAACUGAAUCCAGGAAGCACCAGCAGCCUUAAGCUCAGAAAUAACUUCCCUGCAGAAGUGUUAAUUGGUACAACACAGAUUAAUGAUGUCACUCGAUAUAUACACACAGAGUUAUUUAGCACAUACACAUUUAUAAAUCAGUAAUAGGUGAUAAUUUCUUACUUGUAGAUUGGAAGGAUUUUCGGAAGAAGAGAAAGAAGAGAAAAGGUCUUCGCAACACCCUUGGCAGGCUUAGACAGCAACAAGUAUGACACAGGGCCAAUAAGCACUGGGACAGUUUCAACUCCAAGCUGCAGCAUUAGACAAGUGAUCGAUAUUAGCAUCUCACAAACUUGAUCUGAUUGAUAGAAAGUUACAAGCAAGUUCAGAAUUCGUUUAAUGAAAUCUCUAUGAAAAAUCUUCAGGGUCCACAAUGUGUUGAAAGUACCCUUUUCAAGUAAUUUAUCUUAAGACUAUUUUGCAAACAGUAUUGCUUUCCUUACAGAUCAAAUAAAUCAAACAACAUAUGAACACAUUUACUGAACCAAGUCUAAGUUCAAAGCUCUAUAAAUAAAUGUCAAUGAAUCUAUAGUAAAUUCUAUUGCAUCCUAAGCUAAAGAUGAGCAUAUCAUAUAAGAAUUUCAAGGUGAACGUAACCCAAUUUCAAUAUAUUGUAGAUUCAGAUAUCAAACGAAAUAAAAUUUGUAAAUAUAGACAGAACUGAGAAUAAACACUCACCCCCUUAGCCUCCUUGUACUCAGUCACAGCCUUGUGGGAAGCGUAGGAGAACUUAACAUCGGGUCCCAAUUCAGGAACAAUGAAAUGACUGCAUCAACACGAAGCCAAACACGCGUCAGCAUUCAGUACAAAACCAUUACACCAUAAAUAACUUGAAAUGCCGCUCUUCCAAGUAGUGAAUACUUACUAGUUGGUGUCGAACCACUUGGUCAUUUCCAUAGCGGGAACAGAGGCGUUUCCUCUGGCCAUGGAGAAGUAAACAUCAAAUCCAAUCUCGCCGCCGUUCCAGUUAUACCUCGGGGGCACGGCACCGAGCAUUGCGGUGGUGUCGAGCACUUGGUCGUAGUAGGAGAAAGUGUUGCUGGGAAUGUAUUUGAUCCCGGCCUGGGACAUCUGUUUCCAGAUGGAGGAUCUGAGAUCAGCGGACACCUUUUGCAAAUCCUCAGCGCUGCUCUUGCCAUCCCAGAAGGAUUCCAACGCGAACUUGAGCUCCCUCUUGGGGCCCAUGCGUGGGUAUCCAACGAUGUGAGAUGCCAUUUUACUGUCAUAAUCACGUCAUCAAUGAAUCGAAAAUCAGUCACUUUCAUUAAAUCAAGAAAAUAUUCAUUCAAAUGGAUGGGUCAUUGCUAUUACUGCUCAAAUCAAAUGAAAUCAAGAACACUUAUCAGAGCAUAAAAUCUUAAAUUAAUUUUUUUAUAAAAAAAUAAAAAACCAGUUGAAACAAGCUGAUAAUAAUCCAAGAGUUUGAGAUGAUUUUUUUCUUUCUGUAAUCACAUGAACAAUUAUGUACUUUCAGUCAUUUUUGAAGGAUUAAAACAAAAAAUUCUACAAAUAGAUUCUGAAAAGAAGAAUCUAAAAAUAGAUUCAAAAACAGUAACACAAGUAGAGUUCAAAUUGUUUUUCGGAAAAGAUUAAUUACAGAUCUGAUUGAUUCACGUUCAGAUCUAGCAAAAUCACGGCAGCCAAACACUAGAUCUAACACUAACAGUCACUCACCAGUCCAUUAGAAAAUGAAAUCAAGUUCAAAAUUCUUUUAAAGUUAAUUCUUUUUUAGAAAAUGACCAGAUUUUAGUUGAGUAUUAGUGAGUUUUUUACAAAAUAAUUUAUUUUUGUUUUUUAGAUCCAAAAGUUCGGAAAUCAAAACCAUGUUCAAUGCUUAUUCAUGAUUAACGGCGUAAAAACGCUACUGCAGAGAAGACAUAACGAAAAUGGGAACCGUACCAAACAGAGAAAGAAGAGCAGAGAAAUUGAGAGUCGAGAGGAGAGAGAGAAGAGAGCGGCGAGUUUGGGGGAGUGCCCUCUCCGUUAUUUAUAGCCAAAAAUCAAAUCUGGUUUGGUGGUUGCCUUUGGCGUGCCAACCUGUAGAUCUGAGAUUUUUCAUCUUAAUUUCUUUCUCUUAUUUAUUUAUUUAUUUAUUAUGAUUUUCAGUGCAGUUCAUAAAAUAUAGAGCUGACGCGCGCUUUUCUGAUGUGGCGCGUGAAUUGGAAAUGCGGUAGGUCUUUGUGGGCCCCACGGCACGGUCAGGACUGAAGGAAAAAUGUGAGAAGUUAUCAUAAUUUCAACAGUGCCAUAAUUAGCAAUUACACCACCAAAUAUUUCUUGAGUUUUUUUUUUUUGAUUGCUUUAAAUGCAGAGUUGUUAUGAAUUGUGUUAAUUGUAGAGUUGUUAUGAUUAGAUUACAUUAUAAUUCGUCACAAUUAUGAUAGGUAUGUACGUAUAUAAUAAUUUAUGAGUAAUGAUAUAACCACAAACUCUUAUACAAACUUAUUUUGUACAAAUUGAUGUGGCAUGAUAAAAUUAGUUGAAUUAAAUAUUACUUGAUCCACAUGAUUUGUUAUUAUUAUUUUAUAUUUUCAUUCAACCAAUGAAUUAAUGACACGUCAGUUUGUACAAGAUAAGUUUGUACAAGAGUUUAUGGUUGUAUCAUCACUCAUAAUUUAUAUAAGAUCUCGAAUAUUUAAAAAAUUUAUAAAUCAUUAUUUUCAUGUACAUUUACCUGGUAGCAAUGACAAUAACAUAAAAUAAACUCCAAACAAGAAUGGAUUAUAUUAUUUAUGUUAUUUUAUAGCUUUUUAAUUGAUUUUUAAAAGGAUUAAUUGUUAAUCAUUACUCUCCAACCGUAAUCACCAUUAAAUAUUUAUUUAAUUUAAUAGUCGGUAGAUCAUAAAUAAGAUUAGAAUAUUUAAUGGACAAUCUAAUUGCUACUACAAUUGUUAUCAUUUUUUUAAGGUAAGGGAUUAGACAAUACUCAAAUUUAUUUUUUAACCCCUUACUCCCUAAAGAUUCGAAUUUAACUAACUAAUUAAAUAAGACUGCUUAAAAACCACUCAACCACAUCUUUUGGGGACCAAUUAAUAUCGAUGUUUAAACUGAGGUUUAUUAUUAAAUUUUUUAAGUUUCAAGUUUCAACCGCUAACAACAUUAUCAUCGAUUAAUGAUAAAUAUAAUAAUAUUUCAUCAAAAAACCAUUUAACACAUCCAUCCAUAUUAAACAUAAGUAAAAAAUUUAUCAUGCAUUUCAAAUAUAUUUUUCAUCCUAAAAGUUAUGGAGAAAAUCUUGAUAUCAAAACUUACAAUGUAAUUAUGGGAUGUAAUUUUGCAUUUGAGGUCAGCACAACUUAAAAAUUACUAUGAAUGAAAAUUUAUAAUAAGCAGACACCACAAAAAAAAAUUAUUUAUAAGUAUUACAAUCAUGCAGUUUUAUUUAAGUAUUUAACCAAGUCAUUCAAUUUCUAAUUAAGACGGUAUAAAUUAGAUUUGGGCUGCCUAAGACCAAAAGUCAAAAAAAAAAAAAGAAUAUUCCUAAUAAGCAGCCUACCGCGGUCACGCGCCUUAAGAAACGCUUGGACUUAGCACACGAUUUUAAUCCAAAAUGUAUAAAAAAGGAAAAAUUUAUGAGGUGUAUAAUUAUCUUGAGUUGUUAUAUUUUGAAGAAACAAUGAAGAAAGUUGGUGGCCGAAGUUGAUCCGGGGCGAAUGGUGGUGGGCCCACGUUGUUGCAUUAUAAUUGGAGUUAUUGUAAUUUUUCUUAUAAUUAAUAAACUCCAUUUUUCAAAGAAAAUAAAUAAAUAAAUACACUCCCGAUUACGAAAAUAUCAUUUCAUGAGUGUCAAAGUUAGAGCUGGCAAAAUUUGACACGACCCGAUUACCUGACACGAACACGACAUAAAUAAAUAAGUAUGGAUCGUCAAAUUUAACACGAUUAUUAAAUGGGUCGGGUCUGGGUCAACACAAUUUUUUUCCGUGUCGGGUUUGGGUUAAAAUUCUUGACCCAUUUACCCGAUCAAUGACCCGAUUAUAUUUUCUAUUUUAAAAUAAUUUACAUAUUCUUAUAAUUAAAACUCAAAUAUUAGAGAUAUUUUUUUUAUUCUUUAAAAUGGUGAAUAUAAACACAGUGUUUUAUUUAUAAAAUUUUACAUACAUUUAGAGCUUCAAUAGUGUAAAUGUGUAAAAAUUAAUAGACAUGUAUAUUUUAUAAUAUUGAUAUAUAAUAUUAUAUAUAUAUAAUUAAAACAUCAAUAGUGUAAAUGUGUAAUAUAUUGGUAGAUAUAUAUAUUUUAUAAUAUCGAUAAAUUAUGUAUGUAUGUAUUUAUGUACAUACGUAUGUAUGUAUUUAUGUAUAUACGUAUGUAUGUAUUUAUGUACAUACGUAUGUAUGAUAGUGUGUAAAUAUUUUAUGUAACUUUUGUUCAAUAUAUAGAUAUUAAACGGGUUAUUGGGUAACCCGAUUGUUUUUCCGUGUCGGGUUUGGGUCUCAAUAUUUUGACACGAUUAUUAAAUGGGUCGGGUUUGGGUCGACCUAAAUUUGACACGACACGACACGAACACGACCCGAUGACCCGUUUUGCCAGCUCUAGUCAAAGUGACCGUCACCUACGCAUCGCGUUUGUUGGGCGGGGUGGGUAAGGUGGGGCGAGGAGUUUGUUUGAUCGUCUGAUUACUUUGAUUUUGAUGAAACGUAUGGACGACGGCGAUGGCUUGCCAGCAAGUGGGUUUAUCAUGAUUUUGAUUGUAUUCGGGGAGAUGCUUAUGUAUAUCCUCAAAACUUCUUGGAAAUGAAAACCGCUGGGGUGGCAAAUCUUGACCAAUAAAGUGUGCGUGAUGUUGCGUUUAUAAAUUUCAAUAAUACUAUUGGCCGAUUGAGAUUAUUUUUAAAAAGUUUAAAAAUAAUUUUUAAAGGUUAAAUGUUAAUUUUAAUAUUGAAUAAAUUUUUAAAAAUUAUUUUUGAUAAAAUCAUUUUAUCCUCCAAUAAAUUUUAAAAAAUAGCGAUACAGUAAUUUUUUAAAAUCUAAUUUUAAUAAUCAAAACUAUUUUUUUAUAUAAUUUUAUAGAUAUCCGCAUAUAUAUAUUAUAAAAAUUCGAAAUCAUUAUUAUUAAUUAGGAAAUAAAAUCAUUAACUUUUAAGAAAUUAUUAUUAUUACCAAUUAUACUGACAUAACAAAAUAAAAAAUUAAUUAAUAUUAUAAAUAUUUAUUUCAGUUAUCAACUAUUAUAUAUACACAAUAAAAAAUAUUUUAUAUACAUAUUUAUAAAUGUAUAAAUAAUUUUUAUUCAAUAUUAUAUCGAAUUAAUCAUUUACAUUCUUGCAACAAGUUAACAAUAAAAUUUACCAAACACAUACGAUUGUUUUUAAAACUCAUAUUAUUUUUUUAAAAAAAAAUUACUAAACCUUUAACUGAUUCUCUUACAACUGAUUAUUUCUACAGUACAAUUAACAACAAUUAUUUUAAAAACUAUAACAUUUUCAAACUAGCCCCAUGACAAUAUUGUUAUUGUUGUUUUUCUUACUCUUAUCAAUAAAACUACGUUGCACAUAAGUGCAUAAAAAUUCACACAAAAUAAACUAUUUAACUUUAGGGUAUUAAUUGAAAAAAAAAAUCAGAUUAAGGUGAAUAAAUAUCAGAAAAUAACAAAUAGAUAAACUCUCACACUCUUUAAAAAAAUUAAUUUUAUAAUUUUAUUUAAAACCAACAGAUAUUACCAAACUUAACGGAUCAAUGUUCCAAUGUUUUCUUUUUAAUUUCAAAACCAACAGAUAUUCUUUGUUCAUUAUAUGACCUCCAAACAAAUAAUUUCAUUAAUAAAAUAAUAAUGAAAAGUAUCGUGGUGAGUACAGAGUAAUUCGGUGGCUAAUAAAAGUCUCUAUUUUUCGUCUCUGUUUUUCAUUUUAACUCUUGGGGUUGGUGCCACUUCGGCCUUGGUCGGAGUGGUGGGCUGCUGCCCUCACAAGUAUUGUGAGGACAGUGGUUCAAGCCCCCACAAAUAUUUUUGUGGGGGCUAACGUACUUAUUUAUUUAAUAUUUCAAAAAUUUCUUCUCCCUCGUGCAAUACGAGUGGAGUAUGGACAUCCCUCCUCUAUAAGGGAUUAUUUGUCUGGGCAUGUACUUCACAGAAUUCAAUGUAAUAAUAUAAGUCUCAAUCAUAUAUUUUUGAUUGUAAAUAUCAAUAUAAUAUAUCUGCUAUAAUAGCAGUUGUAAAUAUCUGUGUAAUGCAAUAAUAUGAUAAUUAAUCAUUAUUCAAAAAAAAAACUCUUGGGGUUGGUAGGCUCGUGAAUGGUCCACGUAACCUCUGGACGUAACACUCAAACAAAGACAGCACAAGGCACAUGAAAAAUGCCUAAAAACCGUAAAACCGUGACGUGUUCAACAUAUUAAUAAAUUUAUACUGUGUUUUCUUUUUUUUUUUAAUACUGUGUUGAUAAAGCACUUACGAUGGAACGACCAAUUCUAUUACUUGCAAAACUAAUUAAUAUUUCACUCUAUCAUCUAACUAAUGGAAGGCCAUCUUAAUUGAGGUUGCAAUAGUUAGAAAGUAGCGGGAAGGGUGGCCAAUGCUCCAUAUUAAUUUGCAUCAAUCCCUUUCUGGUGAAGAAGUACGGGUGAAGUAGAGGUCAAAGUUAGAAGAUGAAGGGUGUGUUUGGGAAUUGAGAGUGAGGUGCUGUAGUUUUUUAGCUGCAGUUGCUGUGAAAUAAAAGUUAUAACUGUGGAAUAGAAGUUGAGAAAAAAAAUUUGUUAAGCUGCCAAAGCCCAGUUACAAAUGUUACCAAACACCUUAGUAGCUAGGCUUUGGCAGCCCAUCUACCCCAUCACACUCCCAAACGGAUUAGAAGGGGACCGGGAUUGCUUUGUCAUAUUUGAAAAUGAUUUUGAAAAAAUAAAAAUUAAGUUCAGAAUUUGGUAAAUUCCUUUAAAAUUUCUUUUAGCAAAAUCACUCUCUCCUUUAGAUUUUGAAAAGUAUGGAAUGAGUAGUUUUUUAAAAUUUAAUUUUGAAAUUCGGAUUCAUAUUUAAUAUAAUACCAUAUAUCAUAACAUGUAUUAUAAAAAUCUAAAAUUAUCCUUAUUCAAUCAAUUAAGAAGUAAAAUCUUACAUUUAAAGAUAUUAUCAUUAUCAAUUAUAUUUAGAUAAUAAAAAAUACAAUUAAUAAAAUAAAAAUAUUUAUUUUAGUUAUCAAUUAUUAUAUAUAUACAUAAAAUGUAAUUAUAUAAACAUAUUUAUAAAUGUAUGUGUAAAUUAAAUUUGUAGAUUUAUGUUUAUAUAGAUCAUUUGCAUUCUUAUCACAUUUUAAAAGUGAGAUUUAUUAAAUAUAUAUAUGAUUAUUUUUAAAAUUUACAGCACUUUUUAAAACAAAAGUAUCAAAAGUUUAAUUGAUUCCUUAUUUUUACUGUACAACUAACAGUAAGAUGUGUUUGGUUCAAGUAUAAAAUGAUGGGAUUGGACAAUUUUAAGAUUAAAUAAUCCUAAUGCAAUGUUUGGUACCAAAAAUAAUUGUGGGAUAAAAAUAGUGGACCCCACCAUUUAAUCCAACACAAUGUCAAAAUUUUAUCACAAAGGGGGGUGUGGGAUAAGCUAAAACUUAAACGUAGGAUAACAAAAAAAAAGCCCAAAAUUUUAUACAACACAGUGAUUUUUUUUUUUUUUUGAGUAUGUCAUCAUCCAAUGAUAGUAUAUAUGCCAGAACACUCUUUUGACGUUAAUGAUAUGUAAUAUUUUCAUAUAUACAGCUAGUGACAUUGUUAUGUAAUUUCUUUUUCAUUUAUAGAUUUAUAUUAUUAUUAUAUUUGUUGAUGAUAUUCUUGUUAUGUUUAUAAUUAUAUUAUUUAGUAAUUUAUAAGUUUAAAAACUAUAACAUGUUAAAUAUAAGAAAAACUUUAAGCGAAGAUUUUGUAUUUUUUAACAAAUUUACCAAUAAUUUUUUAUUUAAGUUAGAUUAUAUUCCAUGUCAUUUUAAAAUAAAUCUAAGAUAAUUUUGAUAAAUUAAUAAAUAAGACAUAUUAUUAGUUACUAACCAAUUUCAUGGCAUACCAAACAUGAGAUAUGAUUAUUUACAGUCUAAUCCAACAUUGCACCAAACGUAAUAGAGUAUUAUAUAUAAUCCAAUGUUAUCAAAUCCAAUCAUAUCUUAUCCAAUCCGAUCCGAUCCAGUCUAAUCCAAUUUGACAUACCAAACAAGCCCUAAUUAUGUUAAAAACUACAUCAUUACCAAACUGACCCUUAAUACAAUCUCAUACAUACAUACAUAUAUAUAUAUAUAUUAAAAAUUAAAAAUUAUCUUUAUUUAGUUAGGAAAUAAAACCAUUAUAUUUAAAUAGAUUAAUAUUAUUACUAAUUAUAUUCAGAUAACAAAAUUAAUAAAAUAAAAAUAUUUGUUUGAUUUAUCAAUUAUUAUACACACAUAUUUAUAAAUGCAUGCGUAAAUAAAAUUUUAUAGAUUUAUGUCUAUUUAAAUCAUUUGCAUUCUUAUAACAUUUUAAAAAAAGAAAAGAAAAGUGAUUUACCAAAUACAUGUAAUUGUUCUUCAAACUUACAACACUUUUAAAAUAGAAUUUAAUAAAUGUUUAAUUAAUUUUUUCACAGCUGAUUAUUUUUAUGGUAUAACUAACAAUAAUCUAUAAACUUAUGGUAAAUAUUUGUGUGAAUGUUGGUCCAUGUAAAGAAGUAAAAACAACGCAUAUAUCAAGCAAUAAGAUAUCAAAACUCUUAGUAAAAUACAUAUACUAAUGAAAGAAUGACAGCAAUGCAAUAAAUAAGAUUAUAAUAUAAAUUAUUAAAAUUGUAUAUUAAAAAUUGAUGUAUGAAAUUCUUUUUAUUUUAGUGAUAGAUAAUGUGAUAUAUUUGAAUAAUUUGAUUAAAUGAAAAGAAAAAUAACAAGUAUGGUUGUGGAGGAAAUAAACCAUUGAACUGUGGAAUGUUAUUAAUUAUUGCUAUUUCAUUAUGUAACGUCCUGAUAAUAAGUACAGUGUUAUAGUAUAUUGAUGGGUGGUGAUAUUGUCACCCCUUAAAUUGUGUAAAGUCAACCUCAUUUACAAAUUUUUUGAUAUAAAUUAAAAAGUACAUUAGUUUUAAUAAAUUAUAUAUUUAUUGAAUAAACUAGAACCGUUAGGGAGCUGUAAUGUUAGCACUGUUUUAACUUAUUAUAAAAAAAAAAGUUAUGAUUUGAUCAUAACUCUAAUUUAGAAAAGAAAAAAGAGUUGAAUUGCUAACAUACUUAAAAAUAAAAUAAAAACAUUAUUAUUAGAUGAAAAAUUGUAAAACUUAAGGGGGCAUUUGCAAGUCCGCCACUACUCAAUAGAGCAUUAUUCAGUACUCGUUAAUAUAUCUCGAACUUUUAGGUUUUUUUAAUAUAUUUUUAAUACAUUUUCUAGAACAUUUAGAUAAAAAGAGUCAGUACUCCAAUUGAGUUGUGAAUAAACAUUUAGAUAAAAAGAGUCAAUACUCCAAUUGAGUUGUGAAUAAACUCAUGUUAAAAAAAAAAAAACUCAUUUUCACACUUGAAACGAUUAGUAAAUGGGUGAUACGAAUUUAACUUGGUCAAUAAUAUAUACCAUCUUAAGUUAACUUCAACUCAUUGAUCUUCUAUAGGGUUGAUCAGCCUGCCACAAGGCCCACAAAUUAUCACCUCUAAUGCUUUUGCAACAGUCGUUAUAAAUGCUGACAAAAUGAAACUUCUAUAUAUUUUGGUUUUUUUUUAUUUCUAUGAAAUAUAAGGCCCUUAUGGCAAAUUUCCAUCCAGCGUGAAAUUUGCUAGUUUGGCCUUGGUACUGUGGCACAUGCGUCAUGCAUGCGUGGCUGAGAUGCUUCUAAAACUAAUAAAUUAUGAAGAAUUCCAAAUUCGUACCAAAAAUAAGAGAAUAGGAGCUUGUCAUAGGUGUCCGCGGAUCGGAUUUUAUGGGUUAAACAUUAAUUCAUAUUUGAUUCGUGAUUUUGUAGAUUAUAAAUUUUUAAUUUAAUUCAAUUUAUGGAUUAGUGAAACUCAAUACAAAUUCAAUCCAUAUAUAUGCAAAUUAGAUGCGGAUUUAACCCAAUGCAUAUUCAAUCCAUCAUUUGGCGGAUUGAUUUGCAAAUUAAAAGUUUUUAAUUUUGUCCAAUCUAAAAAGUAAUUAAAUUAAAAAAAUCUAAUAUAUAAAUAAUUGAUUAAAUAAAAAAAUCUAAUGUAAAAAUAAUUUUACUACCAAUUAAAUUCAAAAUUGAACAAGAUUUAAAUAAAUUUAGAAUAAUACAUUCAAAAUUUUAAAAUAUAACACACCGAAAAAAAAAUUCAUUUAUUUAGAUCAAUACAUGAAAAUUAACUAAAAUUAUGAAUUUAAAUGUUGAAACUUGAAAGCUUGGAUGUAACAGGAAGAAUUUAAGAAACUUGAAGAGCUUGAAAAGAAAGUAAGAAAUUAAGUUUAAUUACCUCAAGUGGUGAAGUGAAACAGUGAUUGGCUUGUGCGUGCGGUGGGAUAGAGAUUUGGUGUUAUAUGUCAAAAUAUUUUGUUUGGCUUGGGGUUUUUGUUUUGCUUUAGAAAUUUUAAUGUUUAGGAAACUAUAUUUGCUUAUUUAAUUAUUUCUUAUUUUAUAUUGUUAUCGAAUAAAAUAUAAUAUUUUGUUAAUUUAGCUAUAAUUUUAUGCUGAAUAUAUUUAUUUAAAACGAUUUUAUUAAAUAAAUGUGCAUAUUUAACGAAGGUCUCUGAAAUUUCAACCUGCCUGCUAAUGAUAGCCAAUACGGCACGACCCACCAAAUGUCGGCCCACGCGGGCUUGUGGGCCAUGACGACUUUUUUUGUAAGGGCCCGGCACGGCCCACGGCACGAGUCCGUGCCCAAAAAAAGCCCACCUACCUUUUUUUUUUUUGUCCACAUGUUCAGCGUGCCUAAAAAAACCCACGUGCCUGACGUGCUUUUUUAAGCCCACCAGCCUAAUAGUAACAACAACAACAACAAUAAUAAUAAUUUCAUAGAAAUAAUUAAUGAAAAAUAAAAUAACAAUUCUAGAAUAACAAUUACAUCUAAUUUUAUUUGAACAACUAAUAUUAUAAUUGCACAUAAACUCUAUUGAAUGAAAAUGUAAUUUUUAAUUUAUUAUAAAAAUAUUUUGUUCAUAAUUUUAUUUUUUUGUGCGUAAAUAUGAAAAAUAUUUCAUUCACAAAUGAAACAUAUCUCCAUUAACUAUUAACUAAGUUAUGAUUUCAUAAAUGAAAUAUUAAUGUCGUAAAAUUUUUUAUUUAUCAUUUAUAAAAUCAUGAUAUUUAUUUAUCCAUUUAAUAAAUUAUAAACAUAAAAAAAUUAGAAUACUUAUUUAAACUAGGACUUAAAUUAAUUUUAAAAAGCCUAUACUAAAAAAAUAUAUUAAAAUUUUUAAUUUCAAGGUAUUUAUAAAAUCAUGAUAUUUUAUAUUUAUUUUUCAUUAAAAAAUUUUAUUUUGAUAUACUUUGGCCCACGUGCUAUUGGUGGCCCACGGGCCGCGUGCUUAGCCCACCAAUAAAGUGUGCUUAUUACAUGCCUUUUCGCGUGCCGUGUUUUGCCCCAUCUCUAAUCAUACCGUGCUUUUAAGGCCUGCGUGCCUAAAAUUCUAGGCCCGCAUGCCGUGCCGUGCCGUGCCGUGCCUCGUGCCGCCUGGCCCAUUGGCCAUCCCUACUGCCCGCCAACCACAUUUGUCCAAGAUCAAUUUGUAGGAAAAAAAUUUGAAAAUCAAUAAUUUAUUUAAUUAAUUGUUAAUGUAGGCAUUUGAAUCCCCACAAAAUCUGGGUGUCAGUUCUAGACUUCUGGUGAUAUAUUUUUCUAAUUAAGGAAUAAAAUAUUUUUGUCAUUUUUUUAAUAUUUUAAUUUACCAGGCAUAUCAACUAAUUAAUUUUUCUACUUAGACUAUUAAUUCAUUACGUGCGCAAUCUGUAGCCCGGCGCUCCAAUCCCAUGCAUGUUACACACAACUCAAUCAUUAUUUAUUUAUUUAUUUAUUUUGACCAACAACUCAAUGUUUUUUAUAGAGCUGUCAAAAUUUGACACGACCCGAUUACCCGACACGAACACGACAUAAAUAAAUGGGUAUGGGUCGUCAAAUUUAACACGAUUAUUAAAUGGGUCGGGUCCGGGUCAACACGAUUUUUUUCCGUGUCGGGUUUUGGGUUAAAAUUCUUGACCCAUUUACCCGAUCAAUGACCCGAUUAUAUUUUCUAUUUUAAAAUAAUUUACAUAUUCUUAUAAUUAAAACUCAAAUAUUAGAGAUGAUUUUUUUUUAUUCUUUAAAAUGGUGAAUAUAAACACAGUGUUUUAUUUAUAAAAUUUUACAUACAUUUAGAGCUUCAAUAGUGUAAAUGUGUAAAAAUUGAUAGACAUGUAUAUUUUAUAAUAUUGAUAUAUAAUAUUAUAUAUAUAUAUAAAAUUAAAACCUCAAUAGUGUAAAUAUGUAAUAUAUUGGUAGAUAUAUAUAUUUUAUAAUAUCGAUAAAUUAUGUAUGUAUGUAUUUAUGUACAUACGUAUGUAUGAUAGUGUGGAAAUAUUUUAUGUAACUUUUGUUCAAUAUAUAGAUAUUAAACGGGUUAUUGGGUAACCCGAUUAUUUUUCCGUGUCGGGUUUGGGUCUCAAUAUUUUGACACGAUUAUUAAAUGGGUCGGGUUUGGGUCGACCUAAAUUUGACACGACACGAAACUGACACGACAUGAACACGACCCGAUGACCCGUUUUGCCAGCUCUAGUUUUUUAAUAUGAAAAGGUAUUGGUUAGCUUUGUCUUUAGUUUUUUCAACUUAUAAUAAGUUUGUAUUAAGGCUCCCUUUGGUACAGAUUUUCAAGUAAAACUUAUUUAGGGUUAUUUUUAGGGACCUCCCCUGAGGUUUGGUGUAUUAACAAUCUGAUAGAAAGUAUUCACGUAAUUACAAAGACCUCCCCUGACAUUUGUAUUAUGUUAAGUGGACUGUUAUUGACUAUUGAAAAUCCAAAAAUACCCUUCCUGCCAAAAUAUUUCUUUAUUCACUGAUGAACUGAUGGGUAAUUCGUGCCAAAAUCACAAAUUACUUAAGAAGAUGAAAAUAUCCAUUGGAUAAAAAAAAUGAAAUUGCUUAAUAAAAAAAUUGACAUUGCAUAAUAAUAAAAAAAAUUGAAAUAAUGUGCGGCGGCAUAGCUGCAUCUUGCAUGCAUAUUAUUAUUGUGAUUUUUUUAUUACAAACUCCUUCAUAACUAAUACAUGCCACAAGAGCAGAGCUAUUAAAAGAAAUGAUUUUCAUAUUGUAAACUUGAUAGUACAGGUGUUGGCACCGACCAUAAAACCCUUAUGAUACCAAUCUUUGCUCCAUCCAUAUUUAAAUCCAGAUCAAGUAAAUAUUAAAUUGGAUUUCAGGUCCUGAAAAUCCUACUCUAUAAUUGAUAUCUUCGAGUUUUGUUGGUGCCUCAAACCUGGAUCUAGAGCAUCAUCUCUGUCAUACUCGGAACACCUAAACUAAUGGACUUGCUGCAGCUGCUUAUUCUUCUUCUGAAAUGAUGCACGCAUAUAGAUUACAGACUUUGAAAUAAGAAAUACAAUAAACAACAUGUAAUCGAACUUAAGAUUUCGGCACACUUGUUUGAAAAUUAGAAUCAAACAAGGAAAAUGGCAAGUCAAUAUUUUUUAAUCUAGAAAAAGGGAAAUUUCAAAGUUUAUCACAUGCCAAAUUCAUAGUCUUGCAUCCACUAUUUUCUAGUUUGAAUAACAAACAAAAGCCUUAGACAAAAACACAGAGAACAUCUCACAUGGGAGCAAAAAUUGUGUGUAGAACAAUAUACUUAAGUUACAUGUGAUUACAAUCACAUUAUUUAGCAAAUACAAAAUUACCUUCUCAAAAAAAAAAAAAAAAAAACAACACCACCAAAUUAUUGAAGGUAUUACAACAAUAAGGCAAAAGAACACCAAAGGCAUGCACAAACCGAAACUAACACACAACUCAAUUAGUGUCAUGACCCCAAACUGAACAAUCAUAUAAGCCAUUGUGGGCUCUCUAAAAGAUUAUCACAUUAUAAGCAAACAGAAACCUAUAUUUGAUGAACUACAUCUAGUACUUACACAACUCUUAAAUCAUUAGGAAAUUGCUCUUAUCAGUCAUUACCCAAUAGUUUUUUUCAACUCAACACUAACAACCCCAAAGAGAAACAACAUCCAGCACCAUUUUCAUUAAUUAAAACAGACCCAUUGUUAUUUUUAAUCAAUAAAAUAACAACAAUAUCGUGUAAGCCACUGAUUCAAGCAUUCAAGCUGUGUUUUCGAAGACUGACCUCUUCUUGCUAUCUAAUUCCAGUCACGAUAGACGCUAGAUGCCGGCAAUACUCGCUUCUUGGAAGCUCUGGACCACCGCACGACGUCAUCUUGUGCAGUAGAUGAAAAUAAAUCAAUGAUUUCAGAAAUUAUUUGUGAGUUGCAGACGCUUCUUCUCCAUGGAUGAAAAUGAUGGUGGGUUUUGUUCAAGUGUAAGCUGUGUUUACGAGGAGAAGUACACUUUGUGAAAAAAUCAUUUUCUUUCAUCUACUGGAUAAUGACUUUGGACUGGGUAAUGGUGUGUUUAAGUCUCUAUUUCACGGACAUUGAAGCAUAUUUUGCUUGAAUUUUGAUUUUGUUUAAAUUUCAAGUUUACUUUUACUUGUUUACCCUUUUAUACUGACGCUUAUGUAUUUUUAUACUAACGUUAAGGGAGGUCUUUGUAAUUAUAUGAAUACUUUCUAUCAGACUGUUAAUACAACAAACCUCAGGGGAGGUCCCUAAAAAUAACCCAACUUAUUUAAAUAGAACUUUUACAAAAAAAAAUUUAGUUAUUUGGUUGUCAAUAAACUUUUCAAGUAUACUUUGUUUGGUACAGCUUUUCAAGUAAAACUUAUUUAAGUAGAGCUUUUACAAAAAAAAAAAAAUUAGUUGUUUGGUUGUCAAUAAAAAUUUUUAUUAAAAAAAAUAUGAAAUUACUUUAUUAGUCAAGUUUUUUUAAAGUUAUGCUAUGAAAAGAAUAAAAUAAGAUUGUCAAAUAAAUAGAAAAUAUUUUAAAUAUUUUAACAUUUAAAAAAACUUUUUAACCUUUAUUUUCAAAAAUCUAAAAUUUAAACUUUUACUAGUAAAGGCAAAAUAAUUUAUUUAAACUUCAAAAGCUUUAUUAGAAAAAUAAUCAAACAAUAACAAAAAUUAUUAUAAAAGCUUAUCGAAUUAAAUAAGUACUUAUAGUUAUUAAAGAAGUUAUAUCUAACAGACACUAAUGCCGAAAGCCCCUUCUAAUUGUGGGUGUAAAAGUUUGAAUUAUGCAUACGGUUAAGGAGUUAAGGUGUGUUUGGCAACUGCAUUAAGUGGAAAUUUUUAUUUUGUUUCGAAUAAAAAUACAGCAAGCUCGUGUUCGGCUCAAAAUAAUGGAACGUUUAAUUUGCAACCGUCGGCGGACGAAGCACACCGUUCACGGCCCUUCGUAUAAAAUUGCAUAUGUAAACGUAAAUAGGUCCGGAUUCAGAUUCGUUGCUGUAGAGAGUGGCACGCACGAUCGGGCUGCUGUCGGUGGUAGGUUGGCAUUGGAAUUCUCAUCACGCGCUUCCCCAGGCGCCUACUUAUGGCAAAUUGACACGUGACGCGUGUGGAUUGAAUGGACAGAGUCCCGGGCAGUGUGUCCAAAGCUGCCAACCGUGCUCUGAUUUUUGUCAUCCAUAAUGGCUAACGACUAACGAGGGAGAUUUCCGGGCAGAAAGAAAUUGUUGUCGUUUCUGAAGGGGAAAAAAAAGUUAUUUAAUUUGUUGUUGAAGACAAAAUGAAGAUCUAAAUAAAUAAUGGCUAAUUUUGAGUGUAAAGCAACGGUAAAUGCAUUAUUAAAUUAGAUUUAGGGUCUGAUUGAGAUUAUUUUUAGAUUUAAAAUUAAUUUUGAAAAGUUAAAAUUAAUUUUGAUGUUUAUUAAUUUUUAUUAAAAAUUAUUUUUGUCAAAAUCUCUCAUCCUCCAGCAUAUUAUAAAAAAUAAGGAAGAAAUAAUUUUUUAAAAUUUAAUUUUAAGAAUCAGUUUUAUACUUAAUAUAAUCCACAUAUAUCCUCGUAAAUAUUAUAAAAAUUUAAAAUUAUUCUUAUUUAUUUAGGAUAUAAAAUUAUUAAAUUCAAACAUAUUAUUAUUAUUAUUAUUAUUGUUAUUAUUAUUAUUAUUAUUAUAAAUUCACACACGCACACACAUACUUAUAAAUUUAUAAAUAAACUUUAUUUAACAUUUUGUUCACUUAAAUCAUUUAUAUUCUUAUAGCAGUUUAACAUUAUGAUUUACCAAACACAGAUAAUUAUUUUUAAAAUCCAUAAUAUUUUUUAAAAUAAAUUUUAAUAAAUGUUUAACUUAUUAUUCUGACAACUGAUUUUUUUUGUAAGGUAUAACCAUUAAUAAUAAAUAUUUUAAAAGUUACAGUAUCCCCAAAUUGGCCCUUACUAAUACUCUGCGUUGCCAACUAAAUACUAAUUGUAACAUUAAACAUCUGGAAUAUUUUUCUCUAACGAAACAACACAAUUAAUUUCCCUCUAAAAAAGAAAAAGAAAAAGAAAAAAUAAACUACCAACCCCACCCCUUUAGACAGCAGAGUUUUAGCUGAGGCGGCUUGCUUGCAUAAGCAUUAAGGCUGCUCUUCACCAACCAUUGAACAUUCUUUCCAUUUGAUUGUUACACUUUACUUCGCCAUCUCAUGUCCAUGUACAUUGUUUUGAAAUGAAGACUUUGCGUACAACUAAUCUUUUUCAAUUCAUAAUAAAAACUCUUUUAAUUAGUUAAUAGCUAUAGCUUCCAAUUGAGACUAUAUAUAAAAAUCCAUAUUGACUGACCAAACCAAUAAUUUUUAAUUGGCUUGAGCAUUGUCUUACUUACUUCAAAAUCGUCACUCUCUUUGAAAAGAACAUGAGAGAGUUCACCUCCAUCUCAACCCUUAACCCUAUAUCUCAGUCAAGAGAUUAUUCAUGGAAAAUUCAGAAAAAAGAAAUGUUGCAAUAUUUACGAAACUCACGUCACGUGAGGUAAGAUAAAUUAUUCCUUUCUGCUUUAAUUCAUGUACAUAAUCAUGAGAAUAACUUUAAUUAUAGUUUAUUUCUCCGUUUUAAGAUUUUUCCUUUUUUUUUUUUAAUUAAUUAAUUAUAGUUCAUUCAUUAAUCCCAUAAGAAAUUAACACCUUUGCCGGUAAAGUCACACAUACAACAAUAUUUUAGAACAAAAGGGAAGAUCAUGCACGAUCAUGAUGUUUUAUUAUAUCUCUAGCAAUAUAAUUAUCUUAUAAUUAAUUAAAAACAAAACAGGUAAUUAAGCCAAAGUGGAUGGCAUGCAUCAAUCAUCAUGCAGAACACCUCCCCUUGUUUUAAAUAUAAAUAAAAGAAAUUUGUGCCCAGAAGACUUAAUUAAUACUUCUCGUUUCUGAAGUGCUCACAUGAUAUAUAGUCGGACGCAUUAUAUUUAAUUUCAUGAAUUAAUCGUACGGUUGUAUUUUGAGAGAGAGAGAGAGAGAGAGAGUGACUGAGUAAGAUAUGGCUUAAUUUAACCAAAUCUACGUAUAAAAUUUUAAAAUGAAUUUUUGAGUUUUAACUUAGGAAUUGUCUAUGAAUAAAAGUGUUAAUCAAAUAUUUCGUGUAAAAACAGUCAGCUGUAACAUUUUCGGUUGCUUUAACAAAACUGUAUAUUUCUGUAAUUUCCUAUAUGGGCCAAAAGGAACAUUUUUCUCAGAAAUUAAAAACUUAUGGUGAAAAAGAUAAGAAAACCAACAGGUUCAAAGGUGCGAGUAAACUGGGCUCUGGUGCGCCCAACUCCCUCUUUUGAUUUUGAGACUCUAUUGACCAUUGAGUUUGAGGCCCCAACGGCCCAGUUUAAAACUGUUAUGAAAAGAAAAAAAAUAUAACUAUAAAAUUAAAAUUAAUAAUGUUUGAUAAAUAUAAUUUUUAAAUAAUAAUUUGACAAAAAUAAUAUAGGGUCUUGUGUAUAUUUUUAUUUGGCAUUUCAAUUAAUCUGCUUAUAUAUAUAUAUAUAUAAGUUAAUCUAUAUUUCUUGCAAGAAGAUAGUAUUUCUUUAAUUAAAGUCAUAACUAAUAUAUAAAUUAUCAACUAACCAUCAAACAUUUAUCUCAUUUUAUCUCCACCACGAUCAUCACCAUUCAUCCUGUCACGAUCUUUAUGUAACUACAAUUAUUUUUUCUUUAAUAAUGUCAACCCACCAACCCCAUAACAAUAUCUCCAAACAUCUCAUCUCAAAAUUCCUAAUAACAUAAGUGUUUAUGUAUGAAAGAAAAUGUGAAAUAUAUAAUCAAAAAGUAGUUUAAUAAUAUAAUGUUUAAAAAUUAUGGUAAAAAUAAGUGAGAGUUUGGCAUGGCAAGUUAAUAAAAAGAUAAAAGCUCGGACACUUGAUGCAUCAAAGUAGCAAUGUCUGUCCAUCAUUAUCAUCAUGCGGGUUUAGGUGCUUCUCAUGAUAGCAUUAGCUGGUAAGACCAUCAUGCAUCGUACUUUCAUUGUUAUACAUUUUGAAGGUAAGAAUGGUUAUGUUACGUCCCUCCGAUUAGGUGUAUUUUUCUUCUUCUUCUUCUUCUUUUUCUUCUUCUUGUACGUAAUAAUUUCUCUUUCUUCCAUGAAGAUUUCUUUCUCUCUUUCUUUUUUUUUUUUUUAUUAUAAAUAAAAUGAUAAGAACUAAUUUCCUUACUAAUUGGUAGGGUCGUUUAAUGGUUCAGAUCCAUUAGAUUUUGUCAAAUUCAAGUCCAAUCCAUCAUAUAUUCCAUUUUAUAUUCCGGAUCCGAUCACUAAUAGAAAUCCAUUAUAAUUUAAAACAAUAAAACGUCGAAUCCAAUUUAAUUCGAUAUGAUCAAUCCAAUUAAAAUAAAAAUUUACAAAUAAAAAUCAUUAGUUGCUCUCUCCAGUUAUAAUUCUUAACAAUUAAAAAAAAUACAAAAUAUCAACUCCUUUAAUAUUUCAUGAUUCAUGUACUUUAUUAUCAUAUGGUUGGAAAAAAAAGUUGAAAUUUGAAUAUUAAAAGCAAAUGUUGGUUGCGACCUGCUGUUUGUAUUCUAUAUUGUUAUAGUAUAUUUAUAGUUAUUUUUUUAGCAAGUUAAAUAUAAAAGUGACAUAUAGUUUUUUUUUAUAAAAAAAAAUAAAUAAAGAAAAUAAAAAAUUAAUUGGUUGGAUUGGUUUAUAUUGGAUUUGAACAUAUAGAUCCAUAGACCAAUCUAAUAACAUUAUAUUUUUUAUUUUGCAAUCUUAUCCAAUCCAAUCAAAAUGUCAAUAUGACAAAAGUUGGAUUGGUUUUGAUCAGAUCGAUUGGUUUGAUUGGAUUGAAUUGAAUUAGAUCUUGAACAUCCUACCAAUUAGACUUUCCGUGAUUUUUUUUUUUCCAAAUUUAAUAAAGAGACUUCCCAUGAAUGUUAAAUGCAGUUUUAUUGAUGAAUUCUGCAAUUUUAAGAAAUGUUUGAUACACGAAUAAUGCAUCUCAUCAACCAAGUAACUGCGUCCCCUGCAGCAGCCGCGGCUUCAACUGGAAUACUGCAGCCACACCGGUCUUGAGACUCAACAUUCGGCCGAAACUCAAGCAAAAGUUGAACAAUAUCAGGCCUGCUUUGAGCUAUAGCAAUAUGAAGCAAUGUUUGUCCCUGCGCACCAGCAGAAUCAGCUGGGUGGGUUCCAAGCAGGGUCACUCUGUUCAAGAACCUCUCUUAUCUCAUCCAUUUCACCAUCCUUAACUAGCUGAACCACAACAUGGGACCCAACAAACAUGAUCUUGAUUCCUAUUGAUGAACGCUGGCUUCUUCCUUCUUGUGAACCAGUCACCAGGAACCGAAUCAAGCAUCAAUGUUGCAUCUUUAAUUGCAGCUGCAGGAACGACAACGCUAUGCAAGAGGAAGGAAUCAUCACAGUGAGGGAAAGUAUGAAGGAGAACUGAUCCUGGAGGAAGAUGAUACGCAAUCUCUAUGCUUACUGUUCCGAGUGGUUGCAUUGACCUGAAUAGUUCGAUCUAUUUCUCGUGUAUCUACUUGCGCUGCACUUUCACUCGAAGAACCUACAAAAUUAUUCAUAACCCGGCAUAAAAAAGACGUAAAGUUUUCAGCGCGAGCAUGGUAACUUCAAAACCCGUUUCAUACCUAUCAUAUUUCAUUCGUCCCGCACCCUCAUUUAAAAGACUAGAGCUUAUAAAAACUAGAAGUACCUUACCCAGAACAUAAAAGCAGACAAAACCCAGUCGAGUAUAAAUAUAACGUUGAAUAACACCUACCAUUUACCAUUUCAUUCAAGAACACCACACAAUUAACGAAACCAACAUCGGUAUGUUUUCAGCCGUUGUACUUUCAACUUAAUUUUGAAAGCGCGGCAGCUAAAGCCUAAACUGUUGUUUGAUAAAAGUCCACCCACUGACUGCUACCUGGCGGCUACCGAUUCCAUUCAAUAGCAGUCAUAAAAUAAAAAGUACAAAACAAACCUAUGUACAAAAAAGGCAAUGAAGCAGCCAUGGAUUCAGUUAUUUGCAUGUUUGGGAUUGUGGUUGAUUCCAAAUUGAGAAUAUACUGCGAAAUUAUGUUUGAUAAGCAUUUAUCUGAUGAUUGCUACUUUAUUGAGUGCCUGUUUGGUAUGGCUUAUUUAAAAGCCAUAAGUGCUUAUUUAAUCGUAUAAGCACUUUUUUAAAAUUUUUAUGGUGUUUGGUUAUUUUUUUAGUAGAGUUUUUUUAGCUUAAAUAAGCUAAUUUACCUCUACUAGCAAAAGCCCAAAAUUUGAGCUUUUGGGAGUAGAGGUUAAAGAGCUUAUCUAAAAAAUAUAUAAUAAAAAAAAUAUCAUACAGUUUAAUGAUUCAAAAGUGUUUUUUUUAUUGACAACCAAACACCCAAUGACUUUUUGUCCAAAAACUCUAUUGGUAUAAGCUCUAUUGUUAUAAGCUCUAUUUAAUAAGCUGUACCAAACGGAGCCUGAGUCUUCAAAGAAAAACUCAAUCAACUAAUGCUCGAUUUUUUUUUUUAAAUGACAAAUCAAAAAGUAUUUUGGAGUAGAUUCUCAAAAGAGUGAUUAUUUGAUAAUCCACCAUAAUCCCACUUAGUUAUCAGAAAUAAAUUAAAAUCCGACGAAUGUUACUUAAGCCAAACAGCAUUAUUUUAUUUUGACCACAAGGACCACAACCCUCAAGCUGUCAAGCAACCGUUACCGUUAACGACCAAUCUUUCACCUCUCCGAAUCUUUGCAAGUCACUAUCAAGCAACCGUUACUAAUAUUUAAUCAAUUAUUAGGAUUAUUGGAUUUCUCAAAUACCUUAUGUACUUUGGUUCACUUUCUACUAAAAUAAAUAUUACAGGAGCUUUCAAAGUCUAGGCUAAGGUUGUUGUAAACAUAGAGAGAUUCAGAGAUAUAACAGCUUGUAAUUACAUACCACAAAGCAUAACUUUGUUCGAAUGAUAAUGAUCAUAAUCCAGAUUAUAGACGUAGAGAGAGGAGAAGUCGUACUUGAGGGGCAAAACGCGGCGUUUUGGCUCGUGGAUGAGGUGCUGCUCCUGAUCGUCGUAGAUUGAAGGGAGGAGAGGUCGGUCGAGGAAGUUUAGGAGACGGUGGAGGCUGAAUUGGUGAAUUUCGAUGAAGACUGACGAAUCCAAUGGGGCUUGAGGGUUUGAUUUGCAAAGAUGAAAGAUAAGAGCAUUGUUUUGGUUUCUGUGCAAAAAAAAAAAAAAAAAAACAUGACAAGCGUUGUUUUGGUUUUGGUUCUAAAAAGAUGAAAAUUUGACUGCAAUGGAUCCAUACGCAGUCGGUGUCAAAUAAGAGGAGAAACAAAUAUGUUAAUCACUCGCUCAAUCACUCAUGCGAAGUGCCUUUUUUUUCGUUGCUUUGGCUUCUGAGAAAUAUAUGCAUCAGAUAUUACAACUCUCGAGGAUAAUGCAUUUUGUUCCGGUUUUGACUGAUAUUUAGUGGCAUUUGAUAAACUGAUACCUCAGAACCUGGUAGAGAGUUUAUUAAAUACAAAGAGAACAAAAAUAUAUGACUAUAUAAGCUUUUACACGGUUGAAGAUCCGGUCAAAUUGGCUUUAGUUAGCAAGAUCAUUUAAAACUUUCAAAAAACGAAUGGUAUCAAAAAGCUCUGAGAAAAAGCGGAAAAAAGGCACCACAAAGAUCUUGCAAUUAUUAUCACAGCUUGAUAAGACAUGGAAAUGUAUCUUACAAAUUGGCCUUCCAAGCAUCAAAGAAUUGGGUGGCGACAACUCCCAUUCCUAGCUGCUACCGUGGCCAGUCCCUUCUAACUAAAAUGGGACAGGACCAAAAGCAAGGUCUCUCCCACUCUCCUUAUGUAUAUAAAAUUCCCUACAUUCGAAUAAAACUACAGAAAAAGAUUUGCACAUCAUCUUCUUUCACCUUAUUUUGCAAUCUUCAAGAGUUUGGAAGAUUUCAAAGCACUUGUUAGAAUGUAGCACUCCAUUAAGCAUUCUCACCUUCCCCACACCCCAAUGGACCUCCUUAAUCCUAUCGGCAGACCUACAAAUUCUGCUGCAACUCCAAUCAAAUAAAGCAACACAAUUGUUGCCUGCCUAAGCCUUCCACUCACAGCCUGCAAUGACAAGUUCAUGAUACAAAAUCAGAAACAUUAAUAAACAAAAAGAUAUUACCAUUACUUGCAGAGGGGGAUUUGUUGCAAUUAGUAAAUGCCAUACUUAUCACUUUCAUUGCAGAUAUCAUCAUCAUCAUAAUACUAGCAAUCCAGCACUAAUAGUCAGAAUAAUAAUAAUAGUAGCAUGAAUAAAGAAUUUCUGCAGAGUAAGCUCUAAAGAUGCCGAAAGUGUCAUCUAUUAUGUUAAUAAUAAAAAAGUCUAUCAAGAAUUCAAGGAAAGAAAACUCAUUAACAAAGAACUAAACUUUUUAAUAAUGUUUAAUAAACUACGUACCUAUGAUUUUCUAUUAUUAACAUAAAUGACACUACGUACAACUGAUUUUCGCUUUCUAAUGUUUCAAAUCAUACCGAGAAAUAUAACAAUUACCAAGUCAGUAAGUAGCACAAUUACUUAAUAAGACUUUGACUUGUCUAACCCAAAAUUGUACCCAAUUCUAUACUCUACCAUGAAAAGCUUAUGAAGCCGAACUUACUUUGACCAAACAGUACUAUUAGCUCAGUUAAAGGAAACCACAAUUGAACAAAGUUCAGCUGAAAUAACUGAACUAAAAAAACUUGAUAAAAUUAAAAGUAACUUAUAACAGUUUAGUAAAGAAGCAUACAAAACAUGAAGAUAAAUAAACAUAGGUCUAUUUUCUUGACACUACCAGGUCCUUUCCUUUUUUUUUUUUCAGAUAAGAUCUCGAUACUACCAAGUUUUGGAUUCAAAAUCACCAUAUUACAAUAAUAGUUGUGAUUCAUGGGAUACAAUAUGUAGCAGCUUAUAUGUCGGCAAUUAUAGUCAAAGAUGGUUGUCAAACAUCAUCGCAAAUCAAGAAGCUAAUAAAGACCAUGUCACACUACAUUAACAUAUAUCAGUUCUUUGAUACAAAGAUAUUGAAUGUUAUACAUUUCUAAUCCCAAGUCCUGAAAUACAAAACAAAAGUUCACUUCACACAGUCAUAAAGCUAGACUGCUAGAUAAAUGGACAAUAGGCAUUGGAUAUGGGUCAAUAAACUAUUAAGCUAAUUAAUGCACACGAAGGAAUCCGUUAGAGCUAGUAAAAUAGCCCUUACCAGAGAACUCGCAGAAGCAUUCAAUUUCCUCAAAGGAGAUAACUUACAACAUAAACAUUUUGAUAAGCAGCAACACACAUAAAAUAGCUUCACUCACUAGCAACAGAGCAACUUCUUCAACACAUUAAUAAAUCCAUUUUCAUUUUUAAACAACAAAAUAAUGCCCAGUUUCUCCAGCACAAAUAGGGUAAGCAGUAAUAGAAAAACAUGAUACAUAGGAAUUACCGGCCUCAAGAAAUCUCCAAGCUUUCUGUCCUCUGCUUCAAUUGCUCAAUCAAGAAUGCCCCAGACGUUGCGCUAGCGUGGUGGUGGAGCGUCGCGAAGCGUGUGGCGGCGGUGUCGGCGAAGGCAGGUCAUGAAGAUAGUUGGUGUCGCGCAGCGAAGGCAGUGCAGCUGGUGUCAUGCGGCGAAGGCAAAUCGCGUGGUGGUGGAGUUGGGGUCGCGCGGCAGUGGCGGUGCGGUGCUGAGGCAUAAUAGUGGCGGUGGCGUUGUGCGACAGUGGCAGUGUGGAGGCAGAUUGCGUGGAGCUGGCGGUGUUGAGGCAGAUCGCGUGGAGGCAGAUGCCGCGGUGGUGGAGUUGCUGUCGCGAUCAACGCCUGUGAAAGGGAAUGAAAGUGAAGGAGAUACCUACAAAAGAAAGAACGAGUGAAAUUUUUUUUUUUGUUCAAGGGUUUCAAACCCACAUAAACCCGACUCUCACACGGGUUCAGUAAGUUUAUGCGGGUUUGACUGCAUUACAAAUUGGUAUGACCACAACAACAGUACAAUGAUUGGUAAUUACCAAACAUGCUAUUUAUGUUGGUAUUAAAUUAAUUUAAUACAAUGAGGAGUGGUAAUAUCAUACAAUGAGGACUGUUAAAUAUGGUGUGUUUAAUAUGUUGUAUUGUAUUAUAUUAUUUUAAUACAAAUAUAUUAUAUUAUCUUGUAUUAUAAUAAUAUUAUAUAAUAUUUUGUGCUACAUUGUGUUGUAUUAAUUUAUAAUUAUAAUAUAUUUAAUGUUGCACCACGCUGUACUAAUUUUUUUAGUAAUCAAUUUAAAUUAUAUAUUUUACAAAUAAUAUUUAUUAAAAUACUUAAAAAUGCUAAAUAUGAAAAUAUUGAAUUUUAAAAAUUUAAUAUUAUUUUUUUAAUAUAAAUAUUAAAAAAUAUCAUAAUUCUUCAUAGAAAUCGAAGUUCAUGGCAUUAAAUUUUUAACGCCGCAUACAUAAUAAAAAAUUUGAUUCUCUAGUGCCAAUAUAAUAGAAUACAUAAAAACGAGACUGAGAAACUACGAAUAAAGCUCAUCAUCAAGGACUCCACAACAUUAUAAGAAGUACUAUGUAACAUUUGCCAAAUUACAACACCACAUCAAGACAUAUCACAAUGUAAAAUUUUUCCUAGAGAUUUGGUAAUUGAAAAACACAAUUCAAGUUGAAAACUGAUAGUCGACUUGAAAAGUUUUAACAUAUCCCAUAAAAGAAAUGUGCCAUGCCAAAAAUCCUAACCCUUGGCUCUUUGACGAUAAGAAAAUAUUGAAAAUUCCAAAGUACAGUGCAAUGGGAGAAAGAAUGCCUAUAAAGCUAGUAAAGAUAUUCUUAAACUACUAUUGGGAUGUUGGGCUGGUUGGUAGCAAAACCCAAACCCUGCUGCUGAUUUCCGAUACCACCAUCUUGGAUAAGCCGCUCUCCCUCCUCUUCCUAACUCCUAAGCCCAAUAUCUUUCCAAAACCUUCACAACCCACUCAUAAAUCUCAUUGUUGUCGUGGAUAUGCAAAUUCUCAAUCUUUUCUACUCCAUCACACUCAUCAAUCAUUUGGGUAUAAACAUUAACCCAAUUAUCCAUUCCUAUUUCCUUGUUAACCUCACCCACCUUGAAAAUGUUCUCAAGACCCUAUAGACAAACUGUGACGAUCCUUUGGUCCAGACAAACCAGAAGAUCACAGAGCGGUUUGAUGCAACCUUGGCUCACCAGGAAUCUGCAGGACCAUGGUACCAUAAGUGAUUCUAUCACAUGAACAUCAUUAGAUUAAAAAAAGAAAAAAAAAAGAAACAUCUAUCGUAUGAACAUUGCUGAGUGAAUAAAAGAAACAUACUGAAUAUGUUCAUGAGAUCCUCCAUAUGUGGCAUUUAAGACAGGCCAUGCAGCCUCCUUGAUUUCAAGUUCUGCAUGUUGAAGAAGAGGUGCACAAAAGGAAGGAUAAGGAAGGAUGAUAUUGGCCUCCAUAACAGCCUGUUGAACAAAAAUUCGACAAAUUAUAAUUAUGAGUAUAUUUAAGUAGCAAUUUUGUCAGAAUUAACUAGACUUGACUAUUGAGGAAGUCACAUUCAAAAAUAGAAAAGACGAGCAAGCAAUUGUAUUCAUGCUAUCGGGACCAAAAUACUAUGAUGCAAGCAAGAAAGAAAAACAUACAUACAUAUAAAACACUAUCUUUGAGUUGGGUAUUUUCUUUCAAUUUUGAUAAUGGCAACUUUGGAUUCUUCUGCUGAAUUACCACCACCACCACACCAUUGUAGUUUCACAUACUAAGAAAAGGCAGGUUCAGCUCCCGUGCAUGCCCAUAAGAAUAUGAUGUAUUAAUUAGAAGUAAAAUUAAUCUGUUCAAUUAAGUUCUCUCAUAUAUUUGUGUGCGUGUGUGUGUUAAUUAGUUUGCUUUCAAAUCUUUUCUCCCUUCUUAAUGAUAUAUAUUUUAAGCAUGAUAUCAACCACGAUGAAUUUAUUAGCCGAUUUUUAAUUAUACAUUCAGCAUGAUAUCACAAACCAAGAGCUUAAGUUAGCCUAAUUCUUCAUAAAUCUAAUAAUUGCAAUCAAUAAUAAUGCUGAAAAUACGAGUUUGAAUUAAGCUAGCAACUGGUUCUUAAAUUAUGCAAUAUGUAAUCAUAGGUUUACUUAAAGAUUAAAGCAUUUCUGCAAUCCAUUGUGCAAAAAGAUUAAAAAAAAAAAAAAUAGUUGCCAAAUUUUAUCUAAAUAAAAAUUCCUUUAGUGGUUAGUACUUGUGAAUUAUAGAAAUUAUUAUUAGUACUUGCUCAGCGCUUUUUAGAUUUGUACAGGUAGAUUACGCCAUUUCAAACCCGACCAUCCAUUUAGACAUACAAAUCCCCCCAAUUCCCUGUCCUCCGCCUUUACGCGACUCUCCACUGUAUGUGCCAACUAAUUAAUUUUUUAAUUACUUGUUUAACUAAUUAAUUCAUUUUCUCAAAAGCAAGAUUAAUCUAUUUGUUCAAAUCUGAAGGAGAUUAAGUUAAUUGAUUUUAUUGUAUGUAAAAAUAUACAAAGAACUCAUGAAGCCAACUAGAAAAAAAAAAAAAGACAAAAAAAAAAUCAAACCCAGAAAUAAAAAGACAUGCUUCGACAGAAAAUUAAUGAAAAUUAUACUGAUUGUGGUUCAAUUUGAUCAAACCCAAAUAAUAACCGGUUUGAUUGAUGACUCAGCGGCAAAGUGCAGGCGCAUCAGUGGUUGCACAGAUGAGUGUUCUCGUGCGGCACGACAAAGCAAUUGUCGGCGAUUGUGAUUGGUGAUGACAUCGAGCGAUGGGGGUAAUGGCAUCGGUCGUGACUUUGUGAUGGAGAAACGAAUGUUAGAUUCGUUCGAAGAUUCGUGUUUUGAUUGAAUAACAAAGAGAGAUUUUAUGAGUUUUAAUUAUCUAAUACGAUACCGCAUAAACCCGACUCGUACGUGGGUUUAUUUUAUGCGGGUUUCGGUGUACUAAAGCAGUAAAUUUAUGUGGUGCAAUUCAAACUGAUUUCACCGCCAAAAGAUCGUGUAAAUUUAAUAUUAUACAGGGUUUUAAUACUAUGUAAUCCAAUACACCAAACAUGCCCUUAAAAACGGAUAGCAAUCCGGGGCCUUUAAAAACGGAUAGCAAUCCGGGGCCUUUAAAAACGGAAAAUACAAGCAGAGAAAAAGAAAAGCCAAUUGUUCAAAAGUGCCUAAUAUGCCCACGGAAAAUUUUCGUCACGACCCACAGUUACUCGAAUAGGUAAUAAGACAGGAAUGCCUUUGUUUGUUCGAAUAUAGAAGCACAAUGGCUCAGAAAGGAUCCCUCCAAUCUCCUUGGCACUGUCAGCUGGGUGCGGAGUAGCUUGGUGGCAGCAACCAUGUUUGAGAGGGCUGGCUUCACCUCAGUGUACUUGCGAGUCUUGAGACCACAGUCAGGGUUAACCCACAAAAUGUUGGUUUCUAGCACAGUACGCAUCUCGUAGAUUCUGUCAACAAUUUCUUCGGUUGAUGGUAUUCUUGGAGAGUGGAUGUCAUAGACGCCAGGGCCAAUUGCAGCAUCAUACUGGACUCCCUCACGGAAGACUGACAGGAGAUUCUCAUUAGAACGAGAGUUCUCAAUGGUGAUCACAUCAGCAUCCAUGUCGAUAAUUGAGUGGAUAAUGUCGUUGAAGUUGGAGUAGCACAUGUGGGUGUGGAUCUGUCAAUCAAUAAACAAUAGAAUGAGAUACAAAAUCAACAGCUAAAUUAAAGAGAUGAGAUUGGAGAUUAAAAGGGUAACUGACCUGGGUAGUGUCCUGGAUGCCACAGUUGGUGAUUCUGAAGGAGUGGACUGCCCAGUCCAAGUAGAAAGCAUGCUCAGAUUUCCUGAGAGGCAAUCCUUCCCUCAAGGCAGCCUCAUCAAUUUGAAUAACGUUAAUGCCUGCCUUCUCAAGAUCCUCGACUUCGUCCUUGAUGGCCAAAGCAAUCUGGUAGCAGGUUUCAUGUCUGCAAAAUUGGCAGCGAUUGAUGUUAAACAAUGUUUCCAUUCCAAAAGGUUAACCAAUAGUGAACCAGUUCUCAUUUAUAUACCUGGGCUGGUCAUUUCUGACAAAGGACCAGUUGAGAAUGGUGACAGGGCCAGUAAGCAUUCCCUUCAUUGGGCGAGCAGUCAUGCUCUGAGCCCAGGAGGACCAGAAGACGGUCAUAGCCUUGGGACGGCUCACAUCACCAUAGAUGAUGGGUGGCUUCACACAGCGAGAUCCAUAGGAUUGCACCCACCCAUUGGCAGUGAAGGCGAAACCUGAUAACUGCUCUCCAAAGUACUCAACCAUGUCGUUUCUCUACAAAAACAAAUGUCCGAAUUCAAUUUGAGAUCCAGCAUACUUCGUAUGCAAUUAGAAAUGCAGAAACAAAAAUGUAUAAAAUUUUAUGUAAUUCAAAACCAGGAGACAUUGCUUUGCUUCCAUUGGGCAUUGCGAGACUCACCUCAGGCUCUCCAUGGACAAGGACAUCAAUAUCAAGCUCUUCUUGGAGUUUGACAACCUUGUUGAUUUCCUCCUUGAUGGAAGCAACAUAUUCUUCCUCAGAAAUCCUAAAAAGGACAAAUAGUCACGGCACAGUUAAUACAGUAGUUGCAGUAAUUUCACACAUGGCAUUGAAUGAAGAAACACCUCAGAUUGACUCACUUCUUAGCCUUGUAUUCACGGCGGACUCUCCUAAGUUCAAUGGUUUGUGGGAAGGAUCCAAUUGUGGUGGUUGGGAGGAUUGGAAGAUUGAGCUUCUUCUGUUGAGCAUCUAAUCUAGCACUAACGUUUGUAGCACGUCUGUGGUCUGAUCCCCUCAAAGCAGCAGCCUAAUAGACCAAGAGGAAGGAAUCACUGUUAGCAAAAAAGGAAAUUCUAAGGGACAGCCACAUCAUAAAAAUGGAAAACAAAUCAAUCAUGCCACUUACAGCCUUUUGAACUGCCUCAUUGGUCACUCUCGGGGAGGACUUUCUUGAAGCCUGAGCUGCAGCAUUGGCAGAGAAGAAUCCCUGGAAACAAAUGAUAAGGAGAACCAAAGUUAGUCUCAUUCAUAUCAUUUUAAAAAGAAGAUACAUAUGCAAUUAGUGGGCUGAUUGUGAGAGAAAAAGUCCCCAAAACUUUAAUCAAACACCAAAUGCCCAAGUUGCCAAAUGAUGUUUAAUUCGGAAAAAUAUAUUUAAAAACAUUCAAAUAUAAUUUCCCCUUCUAAAUUUUCAUUUUCAACAACAUAUUUUACAAGCCAAGCUCAACGUCAGGCCAAGAUUUUGUGCUCCUAUAAUUAUAUUUUACCAUAAAACUAGGUCCUUGAAAGGCUAAGAUUUUCUGACUCUUGUGACUAGUCAAAGCCUAAGAUUCUUUCAAUUCAUCCGUAGUAAAAGUAUACCUCAUCCUUUUGGCCAGCCAAAGCCUUGGCCAAUGCAUUGACUUCAACAACUUUCUGGGCAGCAAAUGCCAGCCAUGACUUGAUUUCGUCGUCGAGUUUGUUCUCAUUAACAAGAUCAACAGCAGUGUGAAGAAGUGAGCAGGAGGUGGAGACCACAAGCUUGUCUGCAAAGAAAAGUAAUAAAUUAUACAACAAAUCCCAUAAUAGAAUAAGAAAUAUUUAUCACAAAGAAAAAUGCAAGCAAAGGAUGUAUACCUUUGCCAACAACACCCUCAAGCCCCCGGAGAACACUAAGAGAAGCAGCAAGAUCAUUGGCCCAAAUGUUCCUUCCAUCAACCACUCCAGCAAAGAGGUACUUGCCAGCAGGGAAUCCACUCUUGAUCAAUUCAAGGGUCUUGGUUCCACGAACCAAAUCAAAUCCAUAAGCGGUGACACCCUUCAAAGAAGUGAGGGUCUGGAAUGCCUCAGCUGGAACAUCAGCAAAGUAGGUCUCAACAAGAACAUUCAAGCCAGAC
Molecule: long non-coding RNA, 30492 nt
Filed under: Citrus x clementina
Lineage: Eukaryota; Viridiplantae; Streptophyta; Magnoliopsida; Sapindales; Rutaceae
Description: Citrus clementina (C. clementina) long non-coding RNA (CCLE_LNC004581)
Source: RNAcentral